UCAAGAAUCAAACCGUUAGACUCUUCUAUUAUGAUUAAAGAAAAAGACAUAACUAGGAAUAAGAGUAACCAAAAAGCACCCAGUAACAUAAACAUUUUAGAGAUUGUAUUAUAAUAUAUAUUUGGAUAGAGUCCUAGCUCAUACAUCAAACGAAAAGCAAGAACCACAAUAAUAAGGGAAAACAAGUACAUUUAUUCAUACUUUAGAAAAGCUAAGGAAGAAAGAUUUUUAUACUUCUCUCUUCUCUUUAAAAUCUAUAUAUAUAUAGGCUUUCGUUACUUUCUUGGCUGGUGUAUCUUGAUAGUAAAGCUCUAGCAGUUGGGGCGAGGAAGGUUGCACUUUGGAGGAAGCUGCAAGGCAAGGUUUGGAUCAAUUCCAAGGGAAGGAAGCAAGUUAGAAUUCUUGUAGGAGCAAAGGCAGCGCAUGUCGGCAUGAGUGAGAGCUGAGCAACAGGCGCUGGUUGGGGCAGAGGGAUUGGGAGGAGUAACGGCAGGCUUGCAGGCCAUUAGGCCAGAAAUUGGGACGUUGCAUAUGGAUUGCGCAUUAGAAACCUGAACUACUCCAUUAUUUGCUAUGGCUAUAACCAAUAUCAUAGCCAAAUAAAGAACGGCUUGAUUUGAACUCUCUCCAUUAAUGGCUUUCUUUCUAUGCACUGAACUAAACUCCUUCUUUUGCUAGUUUUGGGGUGNNNNNNNNNNNNNNNNNNNNNNNNNNNNNNNNNNNNNNNNNNNNNNNNNNNNNNNNNNNNNNNNNNNNNNNNNNNNNNNNNNNNNNNNNNNNNNNNNNNNNNNNNNNNNNNNNNNNNNNNNNNNNNNNNNNNNNNNNNNNNNNNNNNNNNNNNNNNNNNNNNNNNNNNNNNNNNNNNNNNNNNNNNNNNNNNNNNNNNNNNNNNNNNNNNNNNNNNNNNNNNNNNNNNNNNNNNNNNNNNNNNNNNNNNNNNNNNNNNNNNNNNNNNNNNNNNNNNNNNNNNNNNNNNNNNNNNNNNNNNNNNNNNNNNNNNNNNNNNNNAUAUUUUAUUUAAAUAUAUAUAAUCUCGCAAUGGGUAUUAUUCAUCAUAUCUGAGUGAAAAAUUGUUACAAUAUUGGAUCGGGUUACGAGUUGAUUCGAAUCUAUUUGUAUUUAUAAUUAUAUAUAAAUAAUAAAAAGAAAUAGAUAUCCAAUGAUAAAUUACUACUAUGCGUGGCACGAAUAUUUAUAUGUACAUAAGAUUGGAUACGUCAUAUAAAAAGUUAUCAUUACACUAACUUCUACUCUCUCAUAAUCAAAGAGAAAACUCUCUGCAAUUGUGAAAAUACAGGGUACUUGGGUUGUGAUACAAGAGUGCAAGAUUUAAUAACUCUCUAUGUAAUUCAUUCGGUCCAUUUGAAUCUUCAAUAAGGGCCGGAUAGCCUAAAAGUCACUCUAAAAGCUGCUCUACUCUCUUAAGAAUGGUUACUAUUCUGACUCGAACAGAGAAAUGAUUUUACAAUUGAACAGAUCGAACUAUCAUGAAAACCUAACUGGAGGCUAAUCUUCAAUUGGAUACUGCUAUUAACUGUAAAAACUUCUUCAAAUUCUUUAACUAAGCCGUUUAUCUUUUAGUAGUACAAACAACUUUAACUUAGAACAAAAAUCCACCACUAUUAACUUCGAUACCCCUUGUAGAAAUUUCAAAAAGUCUGCAUGAAAUUUGAUAAAUGGGAAAAUGAGAGAAAAUCCUUAUAAACAACUUUGAUUUGUUCUUUUCUCUGCAUGAAAUUUCCAAUAAAUUCAAGAAAUUUCCAGUCUUAGGAAAAUAGAGAGAAAAUUCUUAUUUACAAUUUUAAAUGGGAAACUGAAAAAAUCCUUACUUAUAUAUAAGUUUUGAACCAACAAUUUUAUAAACCUUUGCUCUUCACCAAAACCUUUUUUCUUUUGGCUACUGCUGAUCAUCUUUUAGAUUAACGGUGAUCCCUUCUUAUUUUUAUUUAUAUUCUUCUAUUUUGAUCGCUAAAUACAGAUCUUUUAUUUGUAUGUUUUUUUAUUUAUUAUUACUAUUAGAAUUUCUUAAUUUCUAUUUUUAUUGAGUUUUUAUUCCCUUUAUGGAGAUUUUGAUUACAUUUUAUGGGAUUUGAAUCUUUCUUUCUGGAUGCAUUCACAAAAUGGAGCUGCAUGUUGAUAGUAAGAACUUGUUUGUUGAUGGUCUCACAAUCAGACUCAUUUAAAGAUCAAAGAGUCGAUUUGUGAUUUAAAAUAACUAUUGAUUGGAGCGCACAGAUCUCCGAGCUUAUAAGUUAAAAGAGUUUUAUCAAUGCAAUUGAAGAUAUGAAUACAAGUUUUUAACUCUUUAAGUGAUAUUUUUCUUUUGUACUUCUUGAUUGUAGUGAUCUUUAUUUUUAGAAAAAAUUACAAAUUUGGUGUUUUAACUUUAAGUUCUUUUAAUUUUGGUGUCUAAAUUACUUUUUUUAUUUAAUUAAGUGUUUAGGCUACUAAAAAUAAUAAUUUUCUUUUAAUUAAGUAUUUAGACUACUAAUUUUUUUUGAUAUAGUACCUUUAGCCAGUUUUACAGGUUAAAGUGUUUAUAUGAGUUAUUUGAACAUGAAAUUGAAUUAAUACCCUUUUUAAAGAUAAUAUUCUACUUUCAUUUUUUUUCUUUUUUUAGUAUUAUUUUUUAAAAGAUUUGUACAUUUCUCGAGAAAUUAAAAGAAAAAAAUGUAAGAUUCUUCUUUUUAUUCAUUCAUUCAAAUAAAAAAAUAAACAGUAUCUUUUAUUGUUUUAUUUUGUUGAUUCACCUUAUAUAUAUAUAUAUAUAUAUAUAUAGACACACACACAUCUUUAUCUUUUUAGUAAUAAAAGAAUAUUUAAUAAAAAAUAGAAAGAAGACCAAAGCAUAAGAAAGAGAAGAAAAAUAGAAAAAAAUAGUAAGUAACAAUGAGUAAAAAUAUUUAGGUCAUUUCAUAUGUAAAUGUUGAGUUAAAUUAUUACUUUAACUUGUAAACCAUGUAAGAGAUACCAUAAUAUAUAUAUAUAAUAACAAAUUCAGACACUUGAUUGAAUAAAAAAUAAUUCAAACACUAAAAUAGAAAAACCAAAAAAUUAAGACACCAAAUUUGAAAGUCUUAUUGACUAUAUACAAAGAGAAAAUUGGUACAGUUCAAGAUAACGAUUUUUAUACUAUAACACGAUUCUGAAAAUUCUUAAAUUCUCGGAAUUCUCUAAACCGUACUCAUUCCUAAUUUUGGUCCAACUCAUAAGUAUCUUUCAUAACAUUGAUGGGUGGAAAAAGAGUGAGUAAAAUUCAAUGAGAUGAUAGACAAAUAACUAGAGAGACCGCCCAAUAUACCACCGUUUAAAAAUCCUGAAACUUUUAAGAAUAGCAAAUCUUAUAUCUUUAGAAAUCUUUUUUUUUUUUUUUUUUUUUUUUUUUUUUAUAAUCAGAUCAUAAGAAAAAUUAUUUUAAAAUCCACCUCAAAGAAUGGAAUUUUCUGGAUGACCAAUCAUCAUGCUUAAUUCUCUAAUCCUCCACAAAUCACCGCCAUUUUGCUUCCUUUUUAAAUUUUUUUUUGGUGAAACUAAUGCAACAAUUACUAUUGAUAAUAUAUAAAUAUACCACUAUUCAAUCAGAUCCUUAAAUAUUUAAUCUCUAACUGUUAUCUCUAAUUAAUACUUAGACAAUUAAACAUUUUAAAACCUAAUGCUAUGCUUCGGUUGCAGAGUCCAAAAUAGCCCUGCCCAAGUUGGGUCAUAGUAUCUAAUUUUUUAUUUUCACUUUUCCGAACCGUGAAGUCUAGCAAUAUAAAGCUUUAUCCACUAUUGACUUAACCCAAUCUCAGAGAAAGUCAAAGAAUGAGAACCCAAGCCAUAAUGUUACUCCUACUUUCAUAUCACUAUUAGGGCUUUGUUACUAGUUCUGGAGAGAAAGUGGAGUGAAAAGAUGUAAUAUUUACCCAAUGGAUGUAAAUUACUCUAUUAGUGUAAACUAUUCUGACCCAACUCAUAAAUAUCCUACAAGGAGAAACAAUGGUGGAAAAACAGCGAGUAAAACUCGGUGAGAGGAUAAACAAUAACAAGGAGAAACAGAUAAACAUUUUAAAAUCAUAACUCAUACUAUACAUAUAACCUGAAAAUUGUUAACCAACUGUACAAAUGCCAGUAAUAAAAUAUGAUAAUUCUGAAUUGGUCUCAAUAACAAAAUCAUCAAGUAACAACGAUAAAAUCUAAUACAAACUCAUAGAUAUACCUCGAAGAUCUUGGUAGCAAUAGGCACAAAGAUAUCUUACCUAGUAGCCCAAGCGCAAAUCUCUAUUAUAUGCGCACAGACAUGCCCUCAAAAGGCGACUACUUAGUAUACGCCCUAAAGCCAUGUAUAUAGUGAAUGAUGUCCCAAAGACAGUAAAUCAUUUAUUUUGUUACUGAAUCAACAUCCGACAUUCAAGGUGUGAUCAUUUAGGCCACAUAUAUGAGUGUUAUUCAGCUAUAUAAAAUCUAAUAUAUAAAUAUAAAAAAAAAAACUAAACUGCCAUUAUCCAUUCCUGAGUUCUAUAGAAGAAUAUUUUAAUUUUUUACAUCGAAUUUUAUAAAAAUAAUGACUUUUCUCAUAAAAGUAUUUAAAUAAAACUAAUCAUAUAAUAUAAUUAAAAAUUACAAUGUUAUAAGUUUAUUCAUUCACGUAGUAUGCAUGAUCCAAGUUGAAUAUAUCUUCCGCUCAACUUGCUAACUUUUUCUCGAAUUGACAUUAUACACUUAAUCCUAUAAAUCACGCAUAUAUAUAAUUUAAAAAUAGUCAAAAUCCUAUUUCUUGAUAAUACCUAACUAAUUUCUAAUAUCUAAUAUAUAAGUAUAAUAUUAUUUUUAUUUAAAAAUAUUACUUUUAUUUAAUCCUAUUAAUUAUCUUUUUAUUUUAAUUAAUUUUACUAAAAAUUUAGCAGCAUCUGUUUUGUAAAUCAGACUAAUUCUCUUUAUGAAACGGUCCAUUUCCUGCUAAAAACACUUCUAUAAUUACAAACUUACAUAUCCAUAGUCAAGUUGAGUCCCCGAACUACUUACUAUUGCCAAAGUUCCAAUAACAUUAGUACACAAGAAUCAUUAGCUACUUAAAAUACUAUUCAUUUAUUAUGCCUAAAUAAAUUCAAUUAAUAAGUAUAAAUUAGCUAUCAAGCUUAGUUCAGUCAAAUUCAAUAUUUAAUUAUCUAUUAAAACCAUUAGUUAUCAAUAACUAACUUAAAACAAUUAAUUACAUGAUCAAUUAUCUAUUAAUGAAUCCAAUUAAACCAAUUAUACAUACUCUAAGUUAAGCUUUCAAUUAUUAAUAGAACUAUUACAGUUACAAUUAUGAUUUACUAUCCAUUCACCAAUCACGUUUGUAAAAAGAAAAUCAUUUUCUUUACCAAAUUAACAUUUACUUAUGUUGAAUCAAUUUAAUUUAAUCUGAAUAACUAAUUAACCCACUAAUUAAAUUUUUAUUCACCAACCAAUUAACUAAAACAUCUCAUUCAAAUAAUAAAUUUAAAUAACUAACUCAAAUUAAAUAACUUAAGUCUAAAAUAUGACUGAGCACGGAUAGCUCCAAUUCAGUUAUUUAUAAAUCACUAGUACCGUACCAAACCUCGGUUCUUUUAAAAUUUAAAAUACGAAUAUCGUACCAAAUAUAAAUGGUACCAUAUUGUAUUGAACUAAUUUUUUCAGUUCCGUACUAUUUUCGGUUCUAACAUUCACAGAAAAUACGAAUUUAUAUCUUACCUUUAAUCAAAUAUAUUAAAAAAAUACGAUUGACAUCCAAAUGAAACUAUUAUAAGAAUUAGAAUUAAAUAGAAUUGCAAUUACAUUCUUAAAUAACUUGCUUUGCAAUUUAGUCCACUUACAAAUAUAAUAAUUUAAUAUUCUAAUAUAAACUAUUAAAAUAUCUGCUAUUGCUAGCAAAUAAUAUUUUGCAGAUGGCAAGCAUUAAAAUAAAAAAAAUUACAAACUAUAUACUAAAAUAUAAGUCUAAUUUUAAAUGUGAGAAAUGCGGCUAGCAUAGUGUUUAUGAAUCGAGAGCCUAAGUGUGAGAAAAUAAACUCAUGAACUGAGAUUUGAGACAUGCAGCUGGCUGCUGUAGUAGAUGGUAUUAGUAAAAAAGAAAUUAAAACUUAAGUAUAAAGUGCAUUAGUAAUAUAGUAUAUACACUAUACAACAAAUAUUAUAUAUAUAUAUAUAUAUAUAUAUAUAUAUAUAUAUAUAUAUAUAAUUAUUAAUUAAUAUAUAUAAAAAUUCAGUUAUAUGGUUUGGUCCAGAUCAAUACAAAAUGGCUCAGUUCUGGUACGGUUAUUACUAAAGAACCAGUACCAUACCGUAAUAGUAAAAUAUUUUUGGAUUAGUAUAGUUCGAUUAUAAAGCUCUUGGUUAUUUUGGUUGUGGUACUUUUCAGUAUGAUUAUUCGGUUCAUAUAUAUAUAUAUAUAUCAUCUAUUCUUAAUGGAAUAUAAAGUAUAUCUAAUAUAUAGUUAAUAAUUUAUAGGUAUUAUAUAAUAUAUAUAAUUAUUAAUAAAUAUAUAUAAAAAUUCAGUUAUACGGUUUGGUCCAGAUCAAUACAAAAUGGCUCAGUUCUGGUACGGUUAUUACUAAAGAACCAGUACCAUACCGUAAUAGUAAAAUAUUUUCGGAUUAGUAUAGUUCGAUUAUAAAACUUUUGGUUAUUUUGGUUGUGGUACUUUUUAGUAUGAUUAUUCGGUUCAGGCGGGAAUCACCAAGAUACAUGCUCAGCUCUAGUCUAAAAUCAAGUUUUCUUGUUUUAAAUAACUAUACUCUUAAAUUCUUUACUUGAUAGUCCAAAUUAACAUAAUGAAUACAUAUAACAUUUUGCAUCAAUUAUUAAUUUACUAUUUCCAUACAAUAAGCUAUUAAAUUAUAAUAUCAUUACUACAAUUGUCAUUCAAAAUCAAUUUUUGUGCUUCUGAUCGCUGAAUUUUCACCUUCAAGGGCACAUGGCAACUGUAGUAUAGAAUUAUAAAUCAAAAUCGAUCCCAUGAGAAUAAGAUCUAAUAUAUAUGUCUAAAAGUGUGUAAAAUAAAUUAUAAAAUUUAUAGUAAAAAUUAUUAAAACUAACAAAAUAAAAAAAUAGAUUGAUUAUUGGAUUUUAGAAUACUGGAGAUCUAGAUUUCAUCUAAUGGAUUAAUUAUGGAUAACAAUUCUAAAGUUUAUUCUUGAAUGCAAUUUUUUCUAAAAUAUAUUAAUUGUCUAUCAAGUAAUUUGCCUAUAUCUAAUCAAGCAAUUAUCAAUUCUUAAGGAUAAUUACUUAACUAAACCCGUUAAGCAACAAUUAUUCUAGAUCUAGAUCUGUAUUUCUCAUUUAAAUUCAUCAUACAAAUCCUAAAAAAAAAUACUAUAGUGGCCAAUAAAAGCAUUUACGAUAAUCUUAAGAAUAAUAAAUUAAGAAUUCAACAAACUCUAUAUUGAAUCUAUAAUCAAAACCAACAAAUUACAUCUUUCUCUCUACAAUGAGAGUUUGGUUGUUCAUGGUUAUAAAGCAAUAAAUAUAAAGAAAAACUAAAGAAGACAUAAUUAAGAAAGAGUUAAGAUAAAUACUACUUUGAAUCAUGAAAAUUAGAAAGCCUCCUUAAAUCAUGUAGCCAAAUCUUAGAUCUCCAUUCAAAACAAUGUAUGUAAUACCAGUAUCUAAGGAAUAAUAAUAAUAAUAAUAAUAAUAAUAAUAAUAAUAAUAAUAAUAAUAAUAAUAAUAAUAAUAAUAAUAAUAUCUCAAACUAGAGGCUUAAAAAUAAUAAUAAUUAAUUAAUUAAUUAAUGUGUGAAAUUGAAUUAACAAAUUAUAUUUUAAAAAUUCUGGAUGAAAUAUAAGAGAUCAUUGUCGAGUCUUAAAUUUAAAGAGGAUUUUAAUAUUGGAUUAAAAUAAAAAAAAAAUUAUUAAUUUAUAUUAAAUUAAUUUGCUUAAAUAGCAAAUUAGAUAAGUGAUUUAUAUAAAGGGUAAAUUAUUUCUUUAUAAAUGUCACACUCAAAAAAUUUUCAGAGUUUUUUAAAAGGAAAGGAAUUCUACACCAAACUACAUGCAUUAAUACCCUGGAACAAAAUGAGAUCUCAGAAAGAAAAAACAGACAUCUAUUUGGAGUCACAAGAACCCUUCUUUUUUAAAAUAAUGUUCCAACUACCUACUGGUCGGAUGCCAUCCUAACCGCCACAUAUCUUAUCAAUAGGUUACCAAGCGUAAAAUUAAAAAAUCUCAGUCUAUUAAAAAUUCUCAAGGGAAGAAAAAUAGAAUUAGGACACAUUCGAAUUUUUGGUUGCACCGUUUUUGUCCAUAUUAAACGACUUAACAAGUUCGAUAAAAGCUCAAUUAAAACCUUAUUUUUAGGAUACUCCACAGAAAAAAGGGUAUAAAUGCUAUGAUCCCACCACACACAGAACUUAUGUCUCCAGGGAUGUGUCAUUUAUAGAACAUGAACCCUACUACAAGGAGUAUGACCAUCAUGGUACUAAUCCCAACCAUAUUCAUGGGUCACACACUUUACUAUUUCUGCAUAACCCUGUCUUUUCUGACAGUAGCAGUCAAGAACAGGACAAUCACCUAGAAGGGGAGCAAAAUACAAACUUAAGGACAAUUCCUUCAGGGGAGACAACGUGACAAGCAAUGAAGAAAUCGUGCCACCUCCUUACGAAGAAAUUGCCUUAAGAAGAUCCAUUUGAUCGACCAGGCCUCCUGUCAGUUUAAGGGACUAUGUUUCCUAUAAGGUAUCGUAUCUGAUUCAACACUUCAUCACUUACGAGUCAAUGUCAAAACAAUAUCAAGCCUAUCUAGGAAACAUCACAACACACACAGAAUCUACAUCCUUUUAUGAAGCGAACACUGACCCCAAGUGGUACAAAGCCAUGAAAGAAGAACUUUGUGCUCUAGAAAAAAAUAACACGUGGAAUAUUGUUCCUUUACCAUUAAAAAAGAAAACUGUAAGGUAUAAAUGGGAGUAAAAAAUAAAAUAUAACUGUGAUGGAACAAUCGAAAGAUACAAGGCUAGGUUAGUAGCCAAAGGGUCUACCCAAACUUCUGGUGUUGAUUACCAGGAAACCUUUGCACCGGUAGCAAAAAUGAAUAUUGUCCAUAUUUUACUGUCUGUAAUUACUAACUCAGGAUGGAGUUUGUUCCAAAUGGAUGUUAAAAAUGCAUUCCUUUAAGGCACUCUGGAAGAAGAAAUCUAUGUGACCCUUCCCCCAGGUCACAAGUCCACAUCAGAUGCUUCCCUGGUAUGUAAGCUAAAAAAGGUAAUUUAUGGAUUAAAGCAAUCCCCAAGAGCAUAGUACACCAAGCUAAGCCUCUUUCUCUUAAAUAUCAAUUUCAAUAAACGCACGUCAGAUUCCUCUAUGUUUGUAGAACACACUCACACAUACACUAUUAUUAUUCUUGUAUAUGUGGAUGAUAUCAUCAUAACCGGUAACGAUAAUGAAGAAAUUGAAAAAGUUAAAUAAAGGCUAAAGAGGGAAUUCGACAUCAAAGAUCUAGGUCAAUUAUCAUACUUUCUUGGAAUAAAAAUAGCCAAAUCACAUAAAGGCCUGUUUCUGUCUCAAAGAAAGUAUGUACUCGACCUUCUAAAAGAAACUGGAAAACUAGGAGCUAAACCAACAAAUACUCUAAUGGAAACCAAUGUUAAACUCAAUUUGGAGGACGGUGAUCUACUAACUAGCAUAGGGCAUUAUUAACUCCUAGUAGGUAAAUUAAUCUAUCUAACCGUCAUUAGACCUGAUAUUGCUUACGCAGUAAGUAUGGUAAGCAAAUUUAUGCAUGCUCCUUGUACCAGUCAUCUGGAGGCUAUUGAUAGAAUACUUAGGUAUCUCAAGGGCACUCCAGGUCAAGAAAUCUGGAUGAACAAAAUAACACUAACACCAUAGUUAGCUUCUCUGAUGCAGAUUGGGCAGGAAGCAGUGAUAGAAAAUCAACUACAGGUUUUUGCACCUUCGUAGGAGAAAACUUGGUAACAUGGAAAAGUAAGAAGCAAAGUGUAGUGGCAAGAUCGAGCGCAGAAGCUGAAUAUUGAGCCAUGGCAUCUACGGUGAGUGAACUCAUUUGGAUCAAACAAUUACUCCUCGAUAUGAAAAUAGAAUGUAAAGGACCCAUGCAAAUGUACUGCGACAAUCAAGCGGCUUGGCAUAUAGCAUCCAACCCAGUGUUCCAUGAAUGAACCAAGUACAUCGAAGUUGAUUGUCACUUCAUCAAAGAAAAAGUAUAAUCAGGAGAAAUCGAGACACCAUUUGUUAGAAAUCAUGAUCAGCUAGCUGACAUAUUUACAUAAAGUACUCAACAAGACAAACCAUCAAAUCAUCCUCAACAAGAUGGAUUUUGUCAACCUAUACGAACCCAACUUGAGGGGGAGUGUUAAAAGUAGAAAAACAAACAACACAGAAACAAGCAACAUAGAAGUCUCAGAAACUGCGCAGGCAGAAAGCCUGUGCAGGUCUCUUCCUCAUAGACUUCCAAAAAAGGGAGCAACCAUUUCUGCCAAAGAGAAAUGCCACUUCAACCUUUCUUGAAGAAGAAUUGGAUGUUAGACAUAGGUCUCAAGGCAACCGUUACUAUAGGAUUAGGCUACCGUUGAAACAGUAUAUAUAUAAGCAACAACAUUCAACCUAUAAUACUCAGAAUUUUAUAAUACAAUUCAUCAUUUGAUUACUCAAACUUCAACAAAUUCUAGAGUCCGCUUCUCUCUAAGACCGAUCCAAGAGUUGGUUUUUAACUCGAAAAAACUUUGGAUUUGCUUGAUUGUGCCAUAAUUCCCUAAAAACACAUAAAUAACAAUUAAGUAACUAAAUCACAUUCAAAGUUAAAUCACAUUCAAACUCUAUAAAUUAUAAGAAUAACACCAAUAAACACUCGGUAAAAUAAUGAAAAUACACUUAUAAAUUACUGUUAUCAAUGGAGCAAUAUUUUGCCUAUUCUUACAUGUUGGAAUUAUUGUGUGCUUGUAUCAGGUGAUUAUGUCGCGAUCAUGCAAUGUGAUGAUUGUAGAAGUCAUAUAGAGUCUUUCGAUAAUACAUAGAAAGUUUGAAGUUUUGUUUAAAGGUGUCAAUCAAUCAUGAGCUUAGAAAAUAGAAUUUCUUUGCUGAAUCUCUAUCAAGCAAGGCGUCAGACGCAAUAAAUAAUUUAUUGCCUGUCACUAGAGGAAAUCUUAGAAAGGUUGAAUUUGAUGUUAGCAUGGAUGAAGUUGAUCUCACCCAAUCUGAACGAGAAGUUAAUGAGGAAGAAGCAUUGUAUGUUUGGUUUUUGUUUGUGGUUUUUCUGCUUGUCAUGGCUUUGCCUGUUCGGGUGUUGUUGCUGCUGGUUUAAACUCUAUAACAGUUCGCGUAUGCUUUCUGCUGCUCGUGUUGUUGCGGCCCACUUAUUUCAUAGUGAUGUAGUUUGUUUCAGUUUUUCUUGUUUUGCUUUGAACCAGUUGAUAUUAUUUUGUUGCUUAGUUUUUAGGAGGAGUAUUUUCUUCAAUUUGUACUCUUUGUGCAAAUUGGCUUUUUAGCUAUAUUAAUAAAAUUAUUGGCUUAUCAAAGAAGAAGGAAGGCUGAAGUUAUAAAUACUUCAAAAGCGGACCACCACUUAAUUUACAGAUUGGUUCAUUAUAUUAACUAAAUAAGUUAUAACAAACAAUUGGAAAAAUUCUAAGGUCAAUAUGACUCAAUAUACAGUGUUGAUAUAUAGUCUUGAUAUCAAUGGUCUAAAGAUUAAUAGAAAACAUGUUUAACUUGUAUUAUAAGUUAGAGGUAGGGGCGCUCUAGAAAACAACUAAAGAAUGUGAUUGAUCGUAAAGUAAGAACAACUCUUCCUCACCAUGGAAAAUUACAGUGUUUCAGCAAAAGAAUUUUCAAAUGGCAAAUUGGAAAUCAAAUGCCCCAAAUUUUCCAAGUGUUGUUUUGAUUCUUGGAAAAUUAGAAAUGAAUGUCCCAAGUUUACUAGUUUUCCUACCAACUAUCCGGUCAAUGUUAACUUUGAUUUCCACACGGAAAUGAUAUUUUCCAAAUUAUUAGUACAAAUCAACGACUGUACAUAUGGUGCCAAAAAAUUGACUCUCAAAGUCUAUGUUUCAAUUUUGUUGUCUUAAUAUGUAGUCUUUUAAUUGAAGAGACAUUUAGCUGGCCUGUUUUCUUUAAUAUACUUAUAUAUAUAUAGAUAUAUAUUUAUUGAUAUAUGUCUUUAUUUAAUACAUCCACGAGUAUUGCAUAAAGAUAUUUAAAUAUUACUAAAAAAUAAAAUUCAAAUUUAUAUUAGGUUAAAGUAAAAGAUAAAUAUAUUUAAAUAUUAUAAAAAAAUAAAAUUCAGAUAUUUGUUCGAUUAAAUCAGAUAUUAAAGUAUUAAACUAACUAAUAGAUACAAAUUCAAAAACAUAAAUAUAUAUUUGCCCAAUAUAUAUCGACCUAGUCAGUUAAUUUCUUUUUUUUUUUUUCUGAAAUAAAUGUUUUCUUAUAUACAUAUGAGCUGAAUUUUAAAAGUGUUUUAGAUAAGUUUUUAACAUAUGUCUAGCAAAAAAAUUUAUCAUAAAAGUAACUGACAUGACAUUACUAAAAAGAUCUAAGAUUUUAUUGUAUUAAAAUUGCUAUAGGACGUUGUUAUCAAUAUAUUUAAUAUGUUGAAUGAUAAUUAGUUUUCAAAGUUAAACAAUAAUUCUAAUAAAAAAGUUGUCAAAGAGCCAUUGCACCAAUUAGAACUAAUAAAAGGUUUAGAGUUCGUCUAACGACUAUUUGUAUAUUAUUUAUUAAAUAUGACACAAGGUAAAAUAGGCUUGUACUCGUCUAUGUUUUAAGUUUAAUGGGCAUUUGGAUUUGAGAUAAUAUUGGAAAUAUAAAACUAUUUUUGUGCCUUUAUUUAACAGCUUAAAUUUUUGAGUUAGUAAAAUGUUUUUUUAACCAAAAGAUUUAAUUUUAUACAUUAUGAUACUAAUUUUGAAACUUACAAACAUUAAAAAUAUCAUGAAACCUAUUUAUGAUAAUGUUUAGCAUAUAAUAUUUAUUUUAAAGAUUACACCCGACAAACACUUCAAAAAUAUUAAAAACUUUUUCAAUUAAGAAGGUUUUUAAUUAAAAAAUAUAAAUUUUUGUUAAUUUCUAUAUGAAUCUCUUUAUUAUUUGUCGGACUUUAUAUGUAAAUUUAUAUUUAAAUAAAGAAAUAAAAUUUUGGAGUUUUUGAAUUGAAAAAUNNNUCCACUCAUGGUAAUGCAUUAUGGAUGUGAGGGUCAAAAACCUCUUAAAUUUCACAUGUGAAUACUAAUUUUAUUGAAACAAUUUCUUGUAUGGUGGGAAGUUAGAAAAGGGCUAGUCCUAAUAUUACUAUAAUUCAAUAAUCAAUCAAGAACAAAGGUAGAAGUUAGUUAUAAUUAUUAUAGUGAAACCCAAUGACUAAUUAGGAACUAAGAACUUAUGAGUGCAAGCUUAUCAAAAUGAUGAGGAAUCAGCAAUCACUAAAUUCCCAAUAUGCGAUUUGUGUAUUUUUACUAAUCUGAUUUUUUCUUUUCUGUUUUAUUUUUCAAAGAAAGAAGAUCUAUUAUUAAGCUUUAAUGAAAAUUACAUUCUAAAGAUUGCCUCAAAAAAAUCUUACCAUGUAAAACCCAUAAGGAUAAAACUACAAUAAGGGAUAGACAAGUUAAUUACUAAUUAUGUUUGUGUUGUAUGCAUUGCCAAACAUUUGGACUCCAUUGAAUCGUUUAUAGACUUCUCUAAAAGGGAAAAAGAACAAAGUAAGUGUUAAAAAUCAAACCGUUAGACUCUUGUAUAAUGAUUAAAGAAAAAACAUAAACUUGGAAUAAGAGUAACUAAAAAGCACCCAGUAACAUAAACGUUUUAAAGAUUGUCACAAUAUAUAUUUGGAUAGAAUCCUAGCUCAUACAUCAAACGAAAGACAAAAACCACAACAAUAAUAGAAAUCAAGUACAUUUAUUAAUACUAUAAAAAGCUAAGAAAGAAAGAUUUUUAUACAUCUCUCUUUUCUUUAAAAUCUAUAUAUAUUCUUUUUUGUUACUUUCUUUGCUGGUUUAUCUCGAUAAUAAACCUCUAGCAGUUGGGGCGAGGAAGCUUGCACUUUGGAGGAAGCUGCAAGGCAAGGUUUGGAUCAAUUCCAAGGGAAGGAAGCACGUUAGAGUUCUUGUAGGAGCAAAGGCAGCGCAUGUCAGCGUGAGUGAGAGCUGAGCAACAGGCGCUGGUUGGCGCAGAGGGAUUGGGAGGAGUGACGGCAGGUUUGCAGGCCAUUAGGCCAGAAAUGGGGACGUUGCAUACGGAUUGGGCAUUACAAACCUGAACUACCCCAUUAUUUGCUAUGGCUAUAACCAGUAUCAUAGCCAAAGCAAUGAACGGCUUGAUUUGAACUCUCUCCAUUAAUGGCUUUCUUGCUAUGCGCUGAACUGUACUCCUCCUUUUGCUAGUUUUGGGGUGCUGG
RNAcentral lists this long non-coding RNA (14345 nucleotides) under Ricinus communis (castor bean). Its description in RNAcentral is "long non-coding RNA (RCOM_LNC002471)". Lineage: Eukaryota; Viridiplantae; Streptophyta; Magnoliopsida; Malpighiales; Euphorbiaceae. The record is from RNAcentral.